AACGCAACUUGCGCCCUAUGGUAUUCCGUUGGGCAUGCCUGUCUGAGUGUCCUUAAUCUAUUCAAUAUACUAUAUUUGUAAUGAAUGUAGAGAGAUUGGAGAUUGAGUGUAGAGUGUGUUGUGCAUUCUCACUUGAAAGAUAGUCGGCCCAUAAACUAUUCACGGCUUGACUCAAUGUUGUAAAUAAAUCGCCUCAUUGGGAACGUGAAGAUUUUGGGUAAGCAGAUUUUUUUAAGCGAUGUUGACCUCAGAUCAGGUAGGAUUACCCGCUGAACUUAA
This 279-nucleotide unclassified non-coding RNA is filed under the name uncultured fungus. RNAcentral describes it as "partial contains 5.8S ribosomal RNA, internal transcribed spacer 2, and large subunit ribosomal RNA". The stretch from base 1 to 52 matches the Rfam family "5.8S ribosomal RNA", at positions 103 to 154 of the family's 154-position model. The record is from RNAcentral. Lineage: Eukaryota; Fungi.